RNAcentral lists this ribosomal RNA (465 nucleotides) under uncultured bacterium. RNAcentral's name for it is "partial 16S ribosomal RNA". It matches the Rfam family "Bacterial small subunit ribosomal RNA", at positions 338 to 795 of the family's 1533-position model. The record is from RNAcentral.
CCUACGGGUGGCAGCAGUAGGGAAUCUUCCACAAUGGGCGAAAGCCUGAUGGAGCAACGCCGCGUGCGUGAAGAAGGUCUUCGGAUCGUAAAACCCUGUUGUUAGAGAAGAAAGUGCGUGAUAGUAACUGUUCACGUUUCGACGGUAUCUAAUCAGAAAGCCACGGCUAACUACGUGCCAGCAGCCGCGGUAAUACGUAGGUCGCAAGCGUUAUCCGGAUUUAUUGGGCGGAAAGGGAACGUAGGUGGUCUUUUAAGUCUGAUGUGAAAGCCUUCGGCUUAACCGGAGUAGUGCAUUGGAAACUGGGAGACUUGAGUGAGGAAGAGGAAAGUGGAACUCCAUGUGUAGCGGUGAAAUGCGUAGAUAUAUGGAAGAACACCAGAGGCGAAGGCAGCUCUCUGGUCUGUAACUGACGCUGAGGGACGAAAGCGUGGGUAGCAAACAGGAUUAGAUACCCCUGUAGUC